UGGCGAGAAUGUGCACAAAACCUUCCAAGACCAAUAAGUCUCCUCUCACUCCUAGCUGAGAAGGCAGCCCACUGCCAAGCCUGGUCACUUACUUGGUUACAUUCAGAACGAUUAGCAGUAAAUUAAAGGCCCCUUCCCUGUGCUGAGGAAGAGAAGGGUUAACAGACAUUUGCAUUGAGAUCACUGUUACAUCACUAAAAGUUAUGCUGGAAUAAGGGAUUACGAUGCUGGAGCAGGAGGCAGGUGGGAAGAACAGAGUGAAAGAGGAAGGGAGAGAGCUCUUGCUGUGAUGAAUUAGAUCACCCCUGAAGACUGGCAGCACAGGGGAAGGGGGAACUGGAUGACCCUGACAGCACGGACCAAUGGCUUUAUGAUGGUCAAGGGCACACACGUGGAGUCAGAUGCUUGGGCGCAAAACACGUCUCCACCAAUUACAUGUCAUGCUACCUUACACAAGUUACUUAACCUGAUGUAAGUCUUCAUUUACUCACCUUACUAAUGAGUAUGAUAACACUAUCUCUGUCCUAGGCAUAUUUAUGAAGAUUAAAUGAGAUGAUACAUAGAAAGCACAGUGCCUGGCCCAUAAGCUUUCAACAGAAGUUAUCAAUGGAUGAUGAUGAUGAUGACCAGUCCUAAGACUGAGGAUUUGCUACAGCAGGUGGCGAACAGGAGGACACCACCCAACAAACUCCUAACACCCAGAUCUCCUUCUCUGAGCCUGCUUUCUGGGGAACCCAAACUCUGACAGGGAUUUACUGGGGAAAGGGGUGCCCGAUCAAGUCUCUGACACGAACAUGACAUGUUGCCUGUGAUGAUUUUAAAACAGCCCAGAUGGCUUCACUGCCCCAUCCAGUACGCCUCUAGGUCACCCACCUCCACAGUAAAUGAGAAAAUUAAGCCCAGAGAGGUUAAAGAUCCUGACAAAAACCUCCCAGCAAGAAGAACUGAUGCUUUGGGUCAAAUCUGGCACUCCCAGACUUCAAGCCCUGUACCACACUGAAUAUUAAUUUGGCACUAUUGUAAAGAGUUAUUGUCAAAGUUAUUGUAAAAAGCUGUGACUUUAACAAGAGAAUAAGAAGAACAAAUACAGACUCAUGGAUCCCUCAUUUUACAAAUUUAGAUUUUGUAUACUGGGUCUCCUUAAAUCAGGAGACACCUGGAUACACAAGUAAGUCAAAUUCACAAACAACAAAGCCACAGGGAAAUGUAGCAUUGUCCUUUACUCCUUGCAGAAGCUACAUCUUCUCAGUAACUCAAGUGAGCUUGCUUUUUACAAUCGAAAUGUUUUCCUUUGUAUGCAGAGUAACGGAGCAUAGCAGAAUACAUGCCUUCAGCUACAAAAAUCUGUAAAUCAACACACACACUCCAUCAUGUUGUGACCGUGAGAACAUACACCCUCACAAGCCAGGAGACAGUCUCUGUCAAAGGAAGAGCUGAGUACUGAUCAGCCCAUAAAAACAGAACUGAGAUUGAAAAAACAUCUUAUAACUGAUAAACGCAUUGCUAUCAUAACAUCAACAGCUUGGAGUCGACAAAAACUAUAUUGGUUAAAUUAAGUCUUCUACAUAAAGAUGUCAAAUGUUACAACUUCACUAUUACAGUAAAGAAUAGCUUCAAAACGUGCCUAAACUGAAGAAUAAGAUGAUACCAUCCUUAGAAAUGACUUUAUAGAAUUGUCGAUUCUAAAAUCAUGAAUCUCUACCCAAGCAUCAAAUUUCUAUUGGUUUGGGCUGCAUCUUCCAGUGGCAUGUCAUCCCAGUCCUAGCCAUCUGAACCAUUUUCAUAUCUUGCUUCUAACAUAAGGAACACAAGUGUCUGUAGUGACUAUUCCUAGAUUUCUCCCUUAAUCAUAGAGUGCUAUGAAAUCUGGACACAGUUGAAAUUUGAAUCUAUAACAGUUCUUUCAGAUUUUCUUUGACGGUAAAGCAGUAGUCUUCCAGGCUUCUUUUUGCCUCGAGUCCUGUAUAUUUUCUGGAUUGGAUUAUUACAGCUCUAGGCUUUCUUUAAAAUACUGAAACGUUAAAAGCUCAUGAGGACACAGAAGUUAGCCCUGAUGAGAAUUCACCUUUUAAAUGAGCUAAGUCAUGAGAUUCAUCGCUGGGAACACACACACACACACACGCACACGCACACACACACAAACUUUUGAGGACAUUGGGAUUGCUCAAAUAUCCACUAAAUGUGCCUCUACAUUUAACCUUGACAUUUUAUUUUCAGAAUGUCUUUUCAUCACUUAGAAAUGUAGCCACAUGAUUUUUCAAUCCAACUUGUAAGAUGAAAGUAAGCCUUUCUUGAGCAUGAUUUACAUUUCCUGUAUUUGUUCCUUAUAAAUUACAUUUAAGCCGAAUAUUCUGAUUUAUGAAGUUCCAUUUCCUUGUCUUUCCAUAAGAAAAAAGGCACGUGUCCAAGAUUAGAUUCUAAACAAUCCACUGCCUUUAAUUAUGAAAAACCUAUGUAACACAGGGAAGUUUGAGGAGAAGAAAAUCAUAUGCCUACAAAAAGAAAUAAUUCAGUAUUGCUAAAUCAGUAUUGAAAUUAGAAAUGGAAGAGGCUUGUCAAAUCAAAGUUUGCAUUUGACACCCAGAUUUAGCAUGCCAGAGAUGUUGGGUCACCAGAGGUGCCUCCAAUCUUUUGAUAAAGUGGAGAAACUGAAAAAGAACAUUUAAGGAGCAAGGCCCUUAAUCAAAGGCAAGUCCUCAUAGAUCAGAAUAUCAGACAGAAAUAUGUAAGAUGCAGGAGAGGCAAAUGGAGAAAUAACACUGAAACAUCAAGGAGAUAAAACUUUAUUUGAAAGUUUUCUUGACAGAGAUGCAAGUCCUGUAUGGUAUCUACACUGACAGUGUCCAGGGAUUAGGGUUUACAAGGGAACUGUUACAGCCAGAAGAGCCAGAGGGGUCAAAGGCUGAAUGAUAUUAUUGUGUGUAAAACCACAACCUUUCAUCUAUGGAAUGUAACCUAAUCCUUAGAAAUCUCCUUCCCUGUUUCCCUCCUAGUAAAGAGCAAUGGCUUGUAGUAAACAUUCUUCUGAGUGUGCACGUGAGUUGGGGAGAGAGGAGAUAUGGAAGUAGGGGCACUGGACUGAUACAGCAGAAACAACAAGAAGCAGAUGCUGGCAUUUACCCAAAUAAUCAGAGCAGAAUUAUCUAAAAAUUAUCUAAAAAUUUUAAGCAUCUUUAGAUUUCACCAUAUGACCUUUGAUUAGACAAAUCUUUUGUAAGGCCUGGUCCUGUUUGUCUUUUAUUGUUGUCCUUUGUUAAAAAAAAAAAUUCUGAUACUAGUAACUAGUUGCUACAAGCCAUUUAAAAAGGAGAAACCUACCAAAAAACAGUGAAAUGGGGUAAAAGGAACUUGCUGAUAAGCAAUCUCUAAAAUUUAUCAGAAUCCCUGUCGAGAGUCCACCCACACACCCUGCAUUCUGAAUUGCGUACAGAGCCUCUUUCCUGAUUUAUUGCAUCUCUCCACACAUUGAAGAGAUGAGGCUAGCAUCUGCCAGUGUAGGAAAUACUGUAUCUUCAUGCCAGCCUGCCAGUUCCUUCAAUGCAACUCCAAGAGUUAAAGAGGAUUUGUUCAUUUCAACCAGGUUGCUGUUGCAACAGGGUUAAUGAAAACAAAGGUAAAGAGAUAAAAUGGGCUCUAACCUGUUGAGCAAAUUGGGCUCUCUCAGUGGAAAUGGGGAAUAAAGUCUGCUACACAUUUAUGUUACACAUAAUAUAUGAUCUUAUGUGCGUGUGCGGUAGUGUGGUUUCUUUUUUUAAAUGAAGAUGCGUACAGCAGAAUGGUUAAGAGUAGAAGUUUCUUUCCCUCACAAUACAUACCUAUAUCAAGACAUCAAGUCAAACACCUUAAAUAUAUAUAAUUUUUAUUUGCCAAUUAUACCUUAAUAAAGAUGGAAAGAAAACGAGUAGGAGUUCUGGAGUCAGAUUGCCUGGGGUUAAAUUCUAGCUGUUUCACGUAUUUGCUUGGUCAAUUUGACCAAGUAUAUUUUAAGUUCCUUUAUCCUCAGUUUCUACAUGUGUUUUGUUUGUUUGACUGAUUGAUUUUCGGUAUUUGUCCUGUUUUGUGUUCUCUGAGCUCCUAGGAUCUAUGGUUUUGUGUCUGCACUAACUUUGGAAAAUUCUCAGCCUCCUGAAGAAAAUUCAAAUAUUUCCUUGGCCUCAUUCUCUUUUCCCUGCGGAAUUCCAAUUAUCCAUAUGUGAGAUCUGUGGACAUCAAGGGUGACUGAGAUUUUCUGAGGCUGUCUUGAUUUCAGAGUACCUCAAUUGUUAGCCUCAAAAUACAGUCAACAUAGAUUUAACCCAGUUUCUACAUUGCCAUUUGAGAUCUCUGUCAUUCAAAUAUGUAUGUAGUGGUGUACAUACACUCUUCAAUGUCUAUAAGGGUUACUAAGGGAGUUUGGUACACAUGUAGAAUUUGAGGACAGGAAUUCUGACUCAGUGGAUCAGGGUUAAAGCCAGGAGUAUGUAUAUUUACCAAGCAUCCUGAAUGAGGCUGAGGCAGGUGGUCUGGGGGCUAUAUUUAAAUAAACAUCAACUCAACAAAUCUCUUACUAUUUUCUACUUGUGGCACUCCAAUAAGCUCUGUAAGAUUAAUGGCCCUCUGCUUGAACCUAUACUUUGAUUCAUUCAUCUUAAAAUUGUCUUGGUUUUAAUUCAAGAAUAAACUUUUCUUACAACUCUCCUAGGAUGGCUAAAAUUGAAAGCACUGACAAUACCAAGUGUUGACAAGGAUGUGGAAAAACUUGAAUUAUCAUGAACUGCUGGUCAAAGUGUAAACUAGAAUAAUCACUUUUGAAAACUCUGGAGUAUCUAUUCAGGCUA
Molecule: long non-coding RNA, 4817 nt
Organism: Balaenoptera musculus (blue whale)
Lineage: Eukaryota; Metazoa; Chordata; Mammalia; Artiodactyla; Balaenopteridae
Exons: 5
Source: RefSeq, a predicted model, not a curated record